Molecule: RNA transcript, 1311 nt
Organism: Cinclus cinclus
Lineage: Eukaryota; Metazoa; Chordata; Aves; Passeriformes; Cinclidae
Gene: TIMM13
Gene name: translocase of inner mitochondrial membrane 13
Exons: 4
Source: RefSeq, a predicted model, not a curated record
CAUUUCUCCCUCCGGUAGCGCCGGGCACUCGGGCGCGGUAACUCUGGGCAUGGAGGGCGGCUUCGGUUCUGACUUCGGCUCCGGAGGAGGCGGCGGGGGGAAGCUGGACCCGGGGCUCAUCAUGGAGCAGGUGAAGGUGCAGAUCGCCGUGGCUAACGCACAGGAGCUCUUGCAGCGGAUGACGGACAAGUGCUUUCGGAAGUGCAUCGGGAAGCCCGGCGGCGCCCUGGACAACUCCGAGCAGAAGUGCAUCGCCAUGUGCAUGGACCGGUACAUGGACUCCUGGAACACAGUUUCGCGAGCCUACAAUUCUCGGCUGCAGCGAGAGAGAGCCAACAUGUGACGCCUACCGGACUCCGGGCCGAGAGGGACCAUGUGGGGAAGGGACAGCGGCCAGUCCAGCUUGGUUUACUUCUUGCCCUUCCUGGGUGUCCAGACUGGCCCAAGGCACUAUAUCAAUUGAUAAAUCCCUGCUGAAAGGGCUGCAACAGGCAAGGAACCUUCUGUGGAAAACAGGGGCCAAGCCAAGCCAGCAACACAGUACCCUUGCUCAGGAUUCCAGCAUGGACCCAUCCAUAAGGUAGUUACCCAGUCCCUUUCCAUAAGUGGAAAAGCUACUGGAAGAUUCUCCACAAGCCACCUAGGCUCUUUCAUCCCUUAUGUCUGUGUAGUGCUAUGCGGGGCUAUUGUAGGGCUCGUAGGCUUUGGCUCAGUUCAGGCCCAGUGUUGGGGAGCAAUACAGCCUCACAAAUAGUUGUAUGAGCACAGCUAGCGAUGAACAGGGUUGGGAAGUACUUAGCGUCUUUAUAGAAUAAAGUGUGUUGUGUGGCUGUGAUACUCUGUAGUUUUUGGUUUGGUUCUGGCACAGGUGUUCCAUCUUGGAGCCUACAUCCUAAACAUAACUUUUUUGAUGGAGGAGAAUGUCUGCAGCAGGGGAUGUGGGUCUGCUUUGGGGCACAGCUCUGUUGUUUUCUGCUUACACAUGGCUCCUGAAUAGGUUGGGUUCAUGCUGCGUAGUCAGCAGUGGAUAUAACAGCUGCAAGAGGAAAAUGUUGGAGAUUAACAGUGCCCAUAUAGUGAAUUUUUAAAAAUCCUUUCUUUUGAAGCUCUUCUGUACUUUAUGAAAGAUUUCGUGGUUUGCUUGACACAAAGACAGACUGGAAGAAUAACAUCUUCAUACCUGCUAGGACAUUCAGAGGGAUGUGAUAGAACCUAAAGUGUUCUCACACAAGGUAAACCAUAAGGAGAUAUUUGGGUAUUUGGACUUACUGAAACUGGAGUUUCCUUUCCAGACUGUCAGAAUGACUACUU